This 253-nucleotide ribosomal RNA is filed under the name uncultured Parasporobacterium sp. RNAcentral's name for it is "partial 16S ribosomal RNA". It matches the Rfam family "Bacterial small subunit ribosomal RNA", at positions 524 to 776 of the family's 1533-position model. The record is from RNAcentral. Lineage: Bacteria; Bacillati; Bacillota; Clostridia; Lachnospirales; Lachnospiraceae.
UACGUAGGGGGCAAGCGUUAUCCGGAUUUACUGGGUGUAAAGGGAGCGUAGGUGGCAGGAUAAGACAGGUGUGAAAGCCCGGGGCUCAACUCCGGGACUGCACUUGUAACUAUUCUGCUAGAGUGCGGGAGAGGUAAGUGGAAUUCCUAGUGUAGCGGUGAAAUGCGUAGAUAUUAGGAGGAACACCAGUGGCGAAGGCGACUUACUGGACCGUAACUGACACUGAGGCUCGAAAGCGUGGGGAGCAAACAGG